This 1550-nucleotide long non-coding RNA is filed under the name Oryza brachyantha (malo sina). RNAcentral describes it as "long non-coding RNA (OBRA_LNC001744)". The record is from RNAcentral. Lineage: Eukaryota; Viridiplantae; Streptophyta; Magnoliopsida; Poales; Poaceae.
UUCAGAUUGACUCAUAGGUAAUCGCAGGAGCUAUUUUUUGACACAACAUUAUUAAUUUGUAGUUCGUUUUUUUGGCGCCGUUAAAUUUCGGACCUAUGUUUGACAGUUUGUAUUUUUCAAAUUUUAUUGUAAAUAUACAAUAUCAUAUGUCAUUCAUAAAAUAAAUAAACAACUUGUUUGGGUCCAAAUUAAAUUAUUUAUUUGAUAUAUAUGCGCAUGUAUUAUCUAAUUUACCCUAUAGUGAUUGUGGGGAUGUACCUGAAAUAAACAGGAAUCCCACAAGCCACAACUGCUAUCACGCCCUGAGUUUUACCCUAGCUAAACCUCAUUGAAAUAAUGUAUUAAAAAUAAUUUGUUAGUUAAAGUUCAGGAGAAAACCCAGUGUAAUAAAUUAAUUAAUUUAAUUCGAAACUUUUUGGAUAUUCUAAAAUAUCCCAAAAGCAUUUUAAAUUAUUAACCAGAUUUAUAUUUGAAUUGCAGUCAGUAAAAUUUGCUUAAAUAAACUUAAUAAAAAUCGGCAAAAUUGAAGGCAAUUUUUUUCCUCCUUUUUUCUUUCCUUUUUCCCUUUUCUUUUUCUUUUUUCCUUUUUUUCCCACCUUGGCCGAACCCCUUCUCCUGUGCGAUCUCCCCUUUUUUCCCUGUUGGUCAGCACGUACUCCCCCUACCCCCAUGCAGUGCCGCACGCGCAUCUUGCCCCCUGCCAACCGUGAGCCCCCGCCUCCUCUCUCACGGUAAAAUCAAUUCCAAAUAAAUAGGACUCUAAUUUUUAUCUUUUUAAAAUAUUAUCUAUUUAUUUUUAAUAAGAGAGAAAUAACUAGAUUUAUCACUAGUUUUCUCCUAUAAAUAGACCCCCCAAGCCCCCACCUUUUCCCGUCCCUUUUUCAGCCACACUGCGCCCACGCCGUCGCUCUGCUUCGCAAGCACCGCCUCCUGUCCAGCAGCUGUGUAGCAAGCCACAGCAGCCCUGCAGCUCCCUAUUCGCAGUAGCCGUUCGCCGAAUCUCUCUACCAAAUUUUAGGUUCGCAUAUAUUUUAUACCUACAAAUCAAUCUAAAUUUAUCUACCGUUUAAUUGUUUAGGUUAUCUAGCCGAACAGCGAGGAACAGCAGCAAUCUGUCGCUGACCUCUCCACCAAAUCUCAGGUUCACAUAUGUUUUACUCAUGUGAAUCAAUCUAUCUUUAAUCUACCAUGUAAUUGCUCAGAUUUUCUAAUCUAAUUAGCUAGCGUGAGAUUAAUCUACAGUGCGAAGUCUAAUUUUGUACGUAGAUUGGUUUUACGUUAAAGUCGUUUAUUUUUAUGUUUAGCGAGUCGUUAAAUCUUAAUUUAACGGGUCGUUACCCCCUGUCGUGCUUCCGCUAACCGUUCCCAGUUUCGUGUUUCGGAUCUAAUUCGUCGUGCGAAUCUUUGAUUCGUGCACGUUUUGGUUCUGUUAUGCAAAUACGCUAUUUGUUCGUGAAUUCCUGAGCCGCAACCACCAACGCGCGCAAAGUUCCCAUCGCCUCCCUCCUUUCCCUCCAAAGGGCCAGACCGUCGCGCCGCCCCACUCAGAU